RNAcentral lists this non-coding RNA (56 nucleotides) under Nostoc punctiforme PCC 73102. RNAcentral's name for it is "Cyanobacteria heterocyst sRNA". It matches the Rfam family "Cyanobacteria heterocyst sRNA". Lineage: Bacteria; Bacillati; Cyanobacteriota; Cyanophyceae; Nostocales; Nostocaceae. The record is from Rfam by way of RNAcentral.
GGGAUGUUGUUAUGCACUGGAUUUAUAUAGAGGUUUGGCGGUGAGCCAAACCUUUU